Molecule: non-coding RNA, 118 nt
Filed under: Isoptericola dokdonensis
Lineage: Bacteria; Bacillati; Actinomycetota; Actinomycetes; Micrococcales; Promicromonosporaceae
Also listed under: 1 other name
Description: SAM-IV sequence
Rfam family: SAM (S-adenosyl methionine) riboswitch aptamer
About the family: SAM-IV is a mRNA element that regulates gene expression via direct sensing of S-adenosylmethionine (SAM or AdoMet). SAM-IV riboswitches share conserved nucleotide positions with the previously described SAM-I riboswitches sequence analysis and molecular recognition experiments suggest that SAM-I and SAM-IV riboswitches share similar ligand binding sites, but have different scaffolds.
Source: RNAcentral
GGUCACGAGCGACCGGCAACACGCCCUCCGCGUGCCGGUCCGGCAACCGCGCCCCUCGCGCACGGUGCCCCAGGAGGAAGACCCGCCCCGCGCCGACAGGCGCAGGGAAGAGCGAGGU